UAGGGAAUCUUCCACAAUGGACGCAAGUCUGAUGGAGCAACGCCGCGUGAGUGAAGAAGAUCUUCGGAUCGUAAAACUCUGUUGUUAGAGAAGAACACGAGUGAGAGUAACUGUUCAUUCGAUGACGGUAUCUAACCAGCAAGUCACGACUAACUACGUGCCGG
Molecule: ribosomal RNA, 164 nt
Filed under: uncultured bacterium
Lineage: Bacteria
Description: partial 16S rRNA
Rfam family: Bacterial small subunit ribosomal RNA
Source: RNAcentral